RNAcentral lists this transfer RNA (73 nucleotides) under Chloroflexi bacterium 13_1_40CM_4_68_4. RNAcentral describes it as "tRNA-Phe". It matches the Rfam family "tRNA". Rfam says of the family: Transfer RNA (tRNA) molecules are approximately 80 nucleotides in length. Lineage: Bacteria; Bacillati; Chloroflexota. The record is from RNAcentral.
GCUUGGGUAGCUCAGCUGGUAGAGCGGCUGUCUGAAGAACAGCAGGUCCCCAGUUCGACCCUGGGCCCAAGCA